UAUAUUAAGGUGUAAGAUGCACAUUAGUUUUUGAAACUAAAAGAGAUAGUUUGAUUCUAUCUAUUAUAA
Molecule: transfer RNA, 69 nt
Filed under: Ochrophlegma sp. TAMUIC IGC OR279
Lineage: Eukaryota; Metazoa; Arthropoda; Insecta; Orthoptera; Pyrgomorphidae
Description: tRNA-Gln
Rfam family: tRNA
About the family: Transfer RNA (tRNA) molecules are approximately 80 nucleotides in length. Their secondary structure includes four short double-helical elements and three loops (D, anti-codon, and T loops).
Source: RNAcentral